UAGCAUAUCAAUAAGCGGAGGAAAAGAAACUAACAAGGAUUCCCCUAGUAACUGCGAGUGAAGCGGGAAAAGCUCAAAUUUAAAAUCUGGCGGUCUUCGGCCGUCCGAGUUGUAAUCUAGAGAAGUGUUAUCCGCGCUGGACCGUGUACAAGUCUCCUGGAAUGGAGCGUCAUAGAGGGUGAGAAUCCCGUCUUUGACACGGACUACCAGGGCUUUGUGAUGCGCUCUCAAAGAGUCGAGUUGUUUGGGAAUGCAGCUCAAAAUGGGUGGUAAAUUCCAUCUAAAGCUAAAUAUUGGCGAGAGACCGAUAGCGAACAAGUACCGUGAGGGAAAGAUGAAAAGAACUUUGGAAAGAGAGUUAAACAGUACGUGAAAUUGCUGAAAGGGAAACGCUUGAAGUCAGUCGCGUUGGCCGGGGAUCAACCUUGCUUUUGCUGGGCGUACUUUCCGGUUGAUGGGUCAGCAUCAAUUUUGACCACUGGAUAAAGUCUAGAGGAAUGUGGCAUCUUCGGAUGUGUUAUAGCCUUUGGUCGCAUACAAUGGUUGGGAUUGAGGAACUCAGCACGCCGCAAGGCCGGGUACUUGUACCACGUUCGUGCUUAGGAUGCUGGCAUAAUGGCUUUAAUCGACCCGUCUUGAAACACGGACCAAGGAGUCUAACAUGCCUGCGAGUGUUUGGGUGGCAAACUCGGACGCGUAAUGAAAGUGAAAGUUGAGAUCCCUGUCGUGGGGAGCAUCGACGCCCGGACCAGACCUUUUGUGACGGAUCCGCGGUAGAGCAUGUAUGUUGGGACCCGAAAGAUGGUGAACUAUGCCUGAAUAGGGUGAAGCCAGAGGAAACUCUGGUGGAGGCUCGUAGCGAUUCUGACGUG
RNAcentral lists this ribosomal RNA (872 nucleotides) under Hebeloma ifeleletorum. RNAcentral's name for it is "partial 28S ribosomal RNA". It matches the Rfam family "Eukaryotic large subunit ribosomal RNA", at positions 36 to 893 of the family's 3401-position model. Lineage: Eukaryota; Fungi; Basidiomycota; Agaricomycetes; Agaricales; Hymenogastraceae. The record is from RNAcentral.